RNAcentral lists this ribosomal RNA (253 nucleotides) under uncultured bacterium. RNAcentral's name for it is "partial 16S ribosomal RNA". It matches the Rfam family "Bacterial small subunit ribosomal RNA", at positions 524 to 776 of the family's 1533-position model. The record is from RNAcentral.
UACGUAGGGGGCAAGCGUUGUCCGGAAUCAUUGGGCGUAAAGAGCGUGUAGGCGGCUUGACAGGUCUGCUGUGAAAACUCGAGGCUCAACCUCGAGAUGUCGGCGGAAACCGUCUGGCUAGAGUCCGGAAGAGGAGAGUGGAAUUCCUGGUGUAGCGGUGAAAUGCGCAGAUAUCAGGAAGAACACCUAUGGCGAAGGCAGCUCUCUGGGACGGUACUGACGCUGAGACGCGAAAGCGUGGGGAGCGAACAGG